AUAUCUUAAAACUUCCUUUUUGUAUUUGUGACUCCUUAAAGGUCAUACAAGGGAAUGUGGCCAAUUUCCCAGCAUGUGGAUGCAAGAGGCAAUGCGACUMCAGGUUGAUCAGAUCGAUAUUGAAAACGACAGAGGUUAAAGAUCCAGGAGGAUCCACGACUGGCAGAAAAACAAAAAAGGCUAAAAGGGAUGUUGACAAGAAUCAAAGUUUCUGUCACUGAUGAGACAAAACUGCAGCUUUUUGGCUUCAGUGACAUUAGUUGUGUUUUUCUUGUAACAAUGGAACAAUAUGUGCACACAGUUUGGACAUAAUGUACAGAGAUGCGUGAUGGUGGGGCUAAUUUGUCUCAAAGUGCUGCUGCCUGGCCAUGAACUAAACUUAAAUGAAGAGCCCAAAGCCGACUUUCAGUGCGCACACACACACACACACACACACACACACACACACACACACCAACCAAUGUUUACAUCAAAUGCUUCCAGGCAGAGUGGGCGUUAACCCAGAGAACUGAAACAUCUAGUUACGUGUUUGCAGCUCCUCUUUGCCUUUUCAAGGUUUUCACAGUAAUUAUGGAGGUUUCUUCAGCAGCUGCCCUAAAACUAUUUGUGUACACACACCGGAUGAGAGGCUGGAGCAAGAAGAUUGUAAUGUUUUGGUGUUUUGAAAAGUGCUCUCUGGAUUUAGUCAGUUCCACUUUGUUUUACUCGAUGCAUUUAUGUGCAUUCUUUUCUUUGAUAGUUUCUGUUACUGACUAUGUUUUGAGUCUUGGUGCACUGAAGUGGUAUUAUUCAGGGUCCAUACCCAUGAUCCCUGGGACCUGUGUUCUGGGGUUAUUACUGAAAGUCAUGUAAGACACGUGGCUCUUCCUUCAUAUGUCAUUUAAUAGAAAUGACAAUAAAAAUCUGAAUUACAGUGCAGGCAUUGUACUGAGGAACAUGUGGAUCCAGGGAACAUAGGGAUGAGUAUAUUAGAGGGAAGAUAGGUACAAGGGAACAUGGGGAUGGGUAAAUUAGAGGGAACAUAUGGUGGCUUGUGUUUCUUGUCACCAAAUAUUUUUUGGAUAAAACCAAUUUUGUUGUGAUUUGUUUCUGCUGUAUCAGAAGUUGAACAAUGCAGGCGUCUGAAAAA
Molecule: long non-coding RNA, 1129 nt
Organism: Austrofundulus limnaeus
Lineage: Eukaryota; Metazoa; Chordata; Actinopteri; Cyprinodontiformes; Rivulidae
Exons: 3
Source: RefSeq, a predicted model, not a curated record